GAGAGGGAGGCCGAGGGAGGCCUGUUAGGAGAUGUCCACAGCCUAGGUGGCGCUGCCCAGGUGGCACUAGUGGUAAAGAAUCCACCUGCCAAUGCAGGAGAGGCAAGAGAUGCAGGUUCUAUCCCUCGGUCAGGAAGAUCCCCUGGAGUGGGAAGUGGCACCCCAUCUGGUAUCCUUGCCUGGAGAAUUGCAUGCAAGAGGAGCCUGGCAGGCUACAGUCCAUGGGGCUGCAAAGAGUCAGACACAACUAAGCAUCACACACAGCUCAGUUGAGAGCUUCAGACACAUGCAAUUUAUUUUCCUUCAUCUUGAAGCUUGCCUACCUACUCUGGGGCAGUACCUUCAUGGAUAUACCACUUGGAAUAAACUUGUUUGA
Molecule: long non-coding RNA, 376 nt
Filed under: Bos indicus x Bos taurus (hybrid cattle)
Lineage: Eukaryota; Metazoa; Chordata; Mammalia; Artiodactyla; Bovidae
Description: lncRNA (ENSBIXG00000002947.1)
Source: RNAcentral